AGGUUGGUGCAAAAGUAAUUGCCGUUUCUGCAAUGAAAAAGUGACAAAAACCACAAUUACUUUUGCACCA
RNAcentral lists this microRNA precursor (70 nucleotides) under Cebus imitator (Panamanian white-faced capuchin). Its description in RNAcentral is "miRNA (ENSCCAG00000007324.1)". The record is from RNAcentral. Lineage: Eukaryota; Metazoa; Chordata; Mammalia; Primates; Cebidae.